GGGGUACUCGAGCGGCGAAAGGGAUAGUAACACGUAGGUACCUGCCUCCGGGACGGGGAUAGCCGUGGGAAACCGCGAUUAAUACCCGAUAACGUCGAGAGACCAAAGGUGUGAUUCCACCUGGAGAUGGGCCUGCGUCCUAUUAGCUAGUUGGUGAGGUAACGGCCCACCAAGGCAAAGAUGGGUAGCGGGUGUGAGAGCACGACCCGCAUCACUGGGACUGAGACACUGCCCAGACACCUACGGGUGGCUGCAGUCGAGAAUCUUCGGCAAUGGGCGCAAGCCUGACCGAGCGACGCCGCGUGCGGGAUGAAGGCCCUCGGGUUGUAAACCGCUGUCGUAGGGGAGGAAGGCUCCGUGAAGAGCGGGGUUUGACCUAUCCUAGGAGGAAGGACGGGCUAAAUUCGUGCCAGCAGCCGCGGUAAUACGAAUCGUCCAAACGUUA
This 445-nucleotide ribosomal RNA is filed under the name uncultured bacterium. Its description in RNAcentral is "bacterial SSU rRNA". It matches the Rfam family "Bacterial small subunit ribosomal RNA", at positions 84 to 543 of the family's 1533-position model. The record is from RNAcentral.